UUUUAGCAUGCUACACCAGAAAUGAAUGAAAACAAGCAAUGAUAUAUUCAAAACAUAGGUAGGAUGCUGCUACUGGUUGUAAUACAGAUUUUCAAGAAGAGCCAUAUCGUCAAAACAUGUAUCUGCUUUGGAAAAGAAGAAAUCCUAAGAUUCCCCCAUCUCCACGCCCGAAAAGAUGCUUUCAAGCAAAGCCAAAAAUCGAUCAAGAAAAAUUCUCCAUCAAAGUCUGUAUUUCAAAAUCCUUAGCAUUGUUUAUAAUUUGAGCAGCCUGAGUCUUAAAAAAAAAAAUCUCAUAAAGAGAUCCAUAAAGAGAUGCUUCUUGUGUUUGUGGUGUGUAUAAAAUAAGAUGACACUGGGGAUUUUUAGUCAGGAAGGUGUUCAAAAUUCUAACCUCUGAAGUAAGCUCUUGCAGGGGAAGCUUCAACAGGGGGAGAGGUACACUCUUCUGAAUCCACUAAGGUUAUUUUGUGACCAUACCUCAUAAGCAAAUCUCCCAUCCUUUCUCUUAUCCCCCUGGUCCAGCAAAAAAACAAAAACAAAAACAAAAACAAAAAAAAAAAACAGAAGGAAUGGUGCCCAAGUGUAUGAGCUCGAAUCAGAAACUCAGCUUAAAAAUAAAUGCAGAAUUUCAGAUGAGAAAAACCUCUUCUCUUUCUGUAUGGUAGAAAGGAUUUUAGGGGUCAAGAAGAGAAUUUUAUAGCCAAGAGUAAAACUAUUGGAUCUAUCAGUCUUUUCUCUCUACCAAACCUUUCCCUUAUUCCCCACCCCCCCACCCCCUCUUCCAGAAGCAGCUAGUACUCCACAUUUCUUUUUCCAGCCAAAGAAACCGGUUCUGCAGAAAACUUUCUGGGAAAUUCUCCAAGAAAAACAGAAUCAAUGUAAGGAAAUGAACAUCUAC
Molecule: long non-coding RNA, 898 nt
Organism: Monodelphis domestica (gray short-tailed opossum)
Lineage: Eukaryota; Metazoa; Chordata; Mammalia; Didelphimorphia; Didelphidae
Source: RefSeq, a predicted model, not a curated record